CCCAAGAAACGGCAAAAAGACAAAAUAAAUAAAUAAAAAAUAAAAUUAAAAUAAAAUAAAAUAAAAUAAAGUAAUAAAAUAAAAUGAACUUGGGUUUACAAAUAUGCCUUUGGUACAAAUAUAUAAAAAAGGUGAUACCAUCACAAACAAGUCUGGUUAUUCCAAGACUGUGAGAGAACUUCGACACCAGAAAGCCUGACUAUUCGACACACCACAUUAAAAGGGAAGCUUUUGAUAAUUUUAAUAUAUGCACAAAAAGAGCUUGACAUUCAUCACCUAUUCACCUGAAGCAAAAACCAAACCAAACUCCAACGCCUGGAUCAGACUGAGCACCUCGAAGACGCAUCCUUAACGGGCGCAACUUGAGCUCGUCCUUGAGGGUGAGUGGUGCCAGCCGCGCCGGAGGGUCCAGGGCUGGCUGGUGCGGGUGACCCACACGCCUGGCCCCACGCGUGGCAGCGUGGACCCACCAUGUUUCUGGGGGCCAAGGAGCUGAGGGAGGACCUCUGUGCCCCACCACGCUCCCAAGCGGGGGCAUCCGUGAAGCUGCUCCACGAGGGUCAGGUUACAAAGCACCCGAGUCUGUGCUGCGGCUGCAUCUCACGCCUCCGCAGGAGGCGUUCCCAGGAAGACGGAAGGGACGUCUCUACCCACCGGGAAGAGGUACAACUGUACCUAUUUUCAGAGGACACGGCUACGUGCACAACAACCCUAACAAUCUUGGAGUUCCCAUCGAGGCUCGGCAGUAACAAACCCAACUAGUAUCCAUGAGGACAUAGGUUUGAUCCCUGGCCCCGCUCCCUGGGUUAACCAUCUGGUGUUGCCGCGAGCUGUGGUGUAGGUCACAGACGUGGCUUGGAUCCGGCGUUGCUGUGGCUGUGCUGUAGGCCAGUGGCUACAGCUCUGAUUUGACCCCUAUCCUGGGAACUUCCAUAUGCCACAGGUGCGGCUAUAAGAAGACCAAAAAAACCCACAACAAUCUAACAACUCAGAUGGAAUGGACCGGUUCCGCAAAAAGCAUGAGUGAUCACAACUCACUCAAGUGAAAGACUGAAGAGCCUCUGGCCUUUAGGGAAACUGAGCCCCUGAUCUCAGGGGUCCCCCCGUAAGUGUCCUGAAGGUUGCCCGGAGGAUAUUCUGCACAACCUCCUUGAGGAAACGGGGGGAACGUCCAAUUCACUCGCGAACCCACUCAUUACGACCGUGACGCCAAAACUAAGCAGUGAAAAAAGAAGUUAGAGUAACACUCCUCAUGAGCAGAGACGCAGAACGGCCUUGACAAACACGAGCCAACCGAGGGUACAUGCCCUACACGCUAUCCUACCCGUCACCGGGCGGAUCAGCGAAGUGGUGUCACCUCACACGGGCAACAGCGUUCACAUGGACACUGCACGGUAACGCCGUGUUCAGUAACAUCCCACACACGCGUGGCCAAGCAGGGCUUGUUUACGCUCAACGUAUAGUAACAACUGAGACAAAGGGAGCACGACGGACAGAUUGACCCUGAGUGCGCGCAGCUUCCGGGUUCAGACAAGUGUCCCAUGUGGGGGCGGCAGGUCUCGACCCUCCCCCCGACACACCUGAGUCUGUGUCAUUCAAACCGGCCCCUUCCCCUCUCCCUGCCCUGGCAACCAACUCCCAACGGCUGUAGGUACUUCAAGGGAACAGACAGGACCUGGGGGUCUUACGUCACUCAGCAUAAAGCCACGAGCCAUCUAAGCUACACUAGGGGCCAGGAUCUCUCUUUUUUAAGGCUGUGUAGUCACCGUCACGUGCCACGUUCCCUUUUCUCUAUUCGUCCUUUGAUCCGUGGACGCUGCAUUGCUCCCACCUCGUGGCUGUG
Molecule: long non-coding RNA, 1843 nt
Filed under: Sus scrofa (pig)
Lineage: Eukaryota; Metazoa; Chordata; Mammalia; Artiodactyla; Suidae
Description: lncRNA (ENSSSCG00005007364.1)
Source: RNAcentral